Molecule: ribosomal RNA, 532 nt
Filed under: Penicillium sp. f4 RA-2013
Lineage: Eukaryota; Fungi; Ascomycota; Eurotiomycetes; Eurotiales; Aspergillaceae
Description: eukaryotic LSU rRNA
Rfam family: 5.8S ribosomal RNA (bases 153-305)
Source: RNAcentral
ACCUCCCCCCCGUGUUUAUUUUACCUUGUUGCUUCGGCGGGCCCGCCUUAACUGGCCGCCGGGGGGCUUACGCCCCCGGGCCCGCGCCCGCCGAAGACACCCUCGAACUCUGUCUGAAGAUUGUAGUCUGAGUGAAAAUAUAAAUUAUUUAAAACUUUCAACAACGGAUCUCUUGGUUCCGGCAUCGAUGAAGAACGCAGCGAAAUGCGAUACGUAAUGUGAAUUGCAAAUUCAGUGAAUCAUCGAGUCUUUGAACGCACAUUGCGCCCCCUGGUAUUCCGGGGGGCAUGCCUGUCCGAGCGUCAUUGCUGCCCUCAAGCACGGCUUGUGUGUUGGGCCCCGUCCUCCGAUCCCGGGGGACGGGCCCGAAAGGCAGCGGCGGCACCGCGUCCGGUCCUCGAGCGUAUGGGGCUUUGUCACCCGCUCUGUAGGCCCGGCCGGCGCUUGCCGAUCAACCCAAAUUUUUAUCCAGGUUGACCUCGGAUCAGGUAGGGAUACCCGCUGAACUUAAGCAUAUCAAUAAGCGGAGGAA